GUCCACGCCGUAAACGAUGGGCACUAGGCGUCGGGGGGAGCGACCCUCCCGGUGCCGUCGCUAACGCUGUAAGUGCCCCGCCUGGGGAGUACGGCCGCAAGGCUGAAACUCAAAGGAAUUGACGGGGCCCGCACAAGCGGUGGAGCAUGUGGUUUAAUUCGAAGCAACGCGAAGAACCUUACCUGGGCUUGACAUGCAUGGGAAAGCCGGUGGAAACACCGGGCCUCCUUCGGGACUCAUGCACAGGUGCUGCAUGGCUGUCGU
This 264-nucleotide ribosomal RNA is filed under the name uncultured bacterium. RNAcentral describes it as "partial 16S ribosomal RNA". It matches the Rfam family "Bacterial small subunit ribosomal RNA", at positions 793 to 1055 of the family's 1533-position model. The record is from RNAcentral.